This is a long non-coding RNA of Eubalaena glacialis (North Atlantic right whale), 241 nucleotides long. RefSeq lists it as uncharacterized. The transcript has 3 exons. NCBI's taxonomy places the organism in Eukaryota, Metazoa, Chordata, Mammalia, Artiodactyla, Balaenidae. The record is from RefSeq and is a predicted model, not a curated record.
AAGACAGGCUGUGGGCCCCUGGAUGGCCUCCCAAUAUCCUCUGACACAGUUAACCCUCUGAUGAAGUAGAUUCCUGGGUGAAGGCUCACGACCUCUCCUUCAGCUGGAAUUUCCUGAGCCUCUCACAUCACGUCAGUUCUCUGGCUUCUGCUCUGACAAAGAUAAGGAAAAUGGGUGGUACUUAACCCGUGCACUUCAUAGACCACAUUUGAAGCCAUAUCUGGAUCUGACAGAAGGGGCU